Sciurus carolinensis (gray squirrel) is the source of this 1195-nucleotide RNA transcript. It is a transcript of the gene named RPA interacting protein, with no coding region annotated. The transcript is spliced from 8 exons. NCBI's taxonomy places the organism in Eukaryota, Metazoa, Chordata, Mammalia, Rodentia, Sciuridae. The record is from RefSeq and is a predicted model, not a curated record.
AUUGCCUCUUGAACACCUCCAUCUGGGUAAACCCAGGCAUCCAGGACUUUCCAUCAAGGCAGCGCUCUCAGUCCAGAUUGGGUUGACUUCAUAAAUGUCACUACUUCAUCCUCCUGCCCUUGGUUGGCCCAAAUUUGUCUCCGUGUGGGGCUGGCCUGAAAGACGCUUCCCAGAAUUCCUUGCUAGCUACUUGUGAUCUUCACCAGAAACUAUAACUCCCAGAGGUCUAUGCGCGCUCCCAGGGGCGGGGUUCUUGGCCGCGACUCCUGAGAAGUGAUGGCAGAAGCCACUGGGUCUCAGCGCCGCUCGCUGUACAAACAGGUGGGCUCGGCGUCAUGGAAAGAGGCUUUCAGGCAGGGAUGCCUGGAGAGAAUGAGAAAGAGCCGUGACAGGCUCCUGAACAAGUACCGCCAGAUUGGAAGCAAUAUGCCAGGGAGAGGUCAGAAUGCCUUUCUAGUGCAAGAGGUGAUGGAAGAAGAGUGGAAGUCUUUGCAGUCAAGAGAGUGCUAUCCAGAGGCUUUGACUCAGUUGAGCUUGCCAAUGGACUUGGCUGUGCUAAAGGAAAUCCAACAGGAGCUGAUUGAUCAAGAACAGUGCAUCAUCAGGGAAUAUGAGAAGAGCUUGCAGUUUGAUGAACAGUAUCUCAGCAUCAUGCUGGCUGAGUGGGAAGCGAAGCCUAUCAUCUGUCCUGUUUGUACAAAGUACAACCUGAGAAUAACAAGUGGUGUGGUUGUGUGUCAAUGUGGCCUGCACAUCCCAUCUCACUCUCCAGAAUUGUCAGAACAGAAGCUUCGUGCCUGUUUAGAAGAUAGUGUAAAUGACCACAGUACACACUGUCCCCAUACCCCUGAGUUUUCAGUCACUGAUGGAACAGAAGAAAAGCCCAGUCUUCUCAUGAGCUGUCUGGUUUGUGAUACAUGGGCUGUGAUCCUUUAGAGCCAAGCUGGACUCAUGUCAUUCUUCUGCUUUGAAAACAACUCACUCCCUGCUGAAUGAAGAAAUAGAAAAGACAACCUUCCUUGGAGGAGAUAAAAGAAUUUUAUUAUCCAUCAUUAUGUUAUACAAAAAUCUAGAAAUAAUAGAUUUGUACAGGAAACCUUCCAAAUGAAUAGUAAAUGAGAGCAUAAUAGCAAUAAUUUAAAUUUGCUUAUUUUUUCCCCAUGAUGUUAGGAUUAUAACCAUUUCAAAGCACACA